Molecule: long non-coding RNA, 275 nt
Filed under: Lupinus angustifolius (narrow-leaved blue lupine)
Lineage: Eukaryota; Viridiplantae; Streptophyta; Magnoliopsida; Fabales; Fabaceae
Description: long non-coding RNA (LANG_LNC000631)
Source: RNAcentral
GGUGAAAUGAGACUGUUUAUUACAUCAGUCGAACCUUCUAGUCCGGUCCUAAUAUAACUAUAUUCAUGUGUCUUCUUAUCUUCUCUCCAUGUUUGCUUGUACGUUUAUUUUUCUUCCCUUGGGUGUAAUCCUUGUCUUGACUCUGCAUCUCUCUUCACGGCUUCUAGUUUUUAUGGUACCCUUAUGUGAUGGCAUCUCAACUGUGUCGCUGCAAAACCCACUUCGCAACAACGCUCAACAUUAUAAGCUAUCGAUCUCCUUUGAUCUACUAUGCA